AUUGACAUGUGUUCUUAAGAUGAGGUUCUUAGCUUUGGCUGAUAACUAUUUCUUAGCUUUUAACUAAAAAAAACUAAGAACCGUCUUUUAAAUAAGAGAUAUAAGAGCCGAUUCUUAGCCAAAAAGUGUAAAAAAAAAACAAAAACAAAAAAGUGUCAAAUCAUGAGUUAAGAAGCCUAAGUUAAGAAUCUGGAUUAAUCAUGCUCUAAUAUCUCUUAUUUAAGAGACGGUUCUUAGCUUUUCUUAGUUAAAAUCUAAAAAAAGUUAAGAAUCGUCUUUUAGCCAAAGCUAAGAACUUCAGUUAAGAGACUGAAGUUAAUCAUGGUCUUAUAUUUUUUAUUUAAGAGACGGUUCUUAACUUUUCUUAGUUAAAAUCUAAAGAAAACUAAAAAUCGUCUAUUACCCGAAGCUAAGAACCUCAAUUAAGAGACUGAGGUUAAUCAUGGUUUUAUUCGCUCAUCAUUCGGCUUCAAUACGAGAAGCACUUCGCAUAUGAGUAUUUGACCAAUUGAGCACCUAUAACACACAGAAAGAUAUUGCAUAGACAUGCACAACCUGUCGUUUGCCUAUAUAUGCACUCUAU
Molecule: long non-coding RNA, 583 nt
Filed under: Brassica rapa (field mustard)
Lineage: Eukaryota; Viridiplantae; Streptophyta; Magnoliopsida; Brassicales; Brassicaceae
Description: long non-coding RNA (BRAP_LNC000772)
Source: RNAcentral